UUAAGUUAUUAAGGGCGCACGGUGGAUGCCUUGGCACUAGAAGCCGAUGAAGGACGUUACUAACGACGAUAUGCUUUGGGGAGCUGUAAGUAAGCUUUGAUCCAGAGAUUUCCGAAUGGGGAAACCCAGCAUGAGUUAUGUCAUGUUAUCGAUAUGUGAAUACAUAGCAUAUCAGAAGGCACACCCGGAGAACUGAAACAUCUUAGUACCCGGAGGAAGAGAAAGAAAAUUCGAUUCCCUUAGUAGCGGCGAGCGAAACGGGAAGAGCCCAAACCAACAAGCUUGCUUGUUGGGGUUGUAGGACACUCUAUACGGAGUUACAAAGGACGACAUUAGACGAAUCAUCUGGAAAGAUGAAUCAAAGAAGGUAAUAAUCCUGUAGUCGAAAAUGUUGUCUCUCUUGAGUGGAUCCUGAGUACGACGGAGCACGUGAAAUUCCGUCGGAAUCUGGGAGGACCAUCUCCUAAGGCUAAAUACUCUCUAGUGACCGAUAGUGAACCAGUACCGUGAGGGAAAGGUGAAAAGCACCCCGGAAGGGGAGUGAAAUAGAACCUGAAACCGUGUGCUUACAAGUAGUCAGAGCCCGUUAAUGGGUGAUGGCGUGCCUUUUGUAGAAUGAACCGGCGAGUUACGAUUUGAUGCAAGGUUAAGCAGUAAAUGUGGAGCCGUAGCGAAAGCGAGUCUGAAUAGGGCGUUUAGUAUUUGGUCGUAGACCCGAAACCAGGUGAUCUACCCUUGGUCAGGUUGAAGUUCAGGUAACACUGAAUGGAGGACCGAACCGACUUACGUUGAAAAGUGAGCGGAUGAACUGAGGGUAGCGGAGAAAUUCCAAUCGAACCUGGAGAUAGCUGGUUCUCUCCGAAAUAGCUUUAGGGCUAGCCUCAAGUGAUGAUUAUUGGAGGUAGAGCACUGUUUGGACGAGGGGCCCCUCUCGGGUUACCGAAUUCAGACAAACUCCGAAUGCCAAUUAAUUUAACUUGGGAGUCAGAACAUGGGUGAUAAGGUCCGUGUUCGAAAGGGAAACAGCCCAGACCACCAGCUAAGGUCCCAAAAUAUAUGUUAAGUGGAAAAGGAUGUGGCGUUGCCCAGACAACUAGGAUGUUGGCUUAGAAGCAGCCAUCAUUUAAAGAGUGCGUAAUAGCUCACUAGUCGAGUGACACUGCGCCGAAAAUGUACCGGGGCUAAACAUAUUACCGAAGCUGUGGAUUGUCCUUUGGACAAUGGUAGGAGAGCGUUCUAAGGGCGUUGAAGCAUGAUCGUAAGGACAUGUGGAGCGCUUAGAAGUGAGAAUGCCGGUGUGAGUAGCGAAAGACGGGUGAGAAUCCCGUCCACCGAUUGACUAAGGUUUCCAGAGGAAGGCUCGUCCGCUCUGGGUUAGUCGGGUCCUAAGCUGAGGCCGACAGGCGUAGGCGAUGGAUAACAGGUUGAUAUUCCUGUACCACCUAUAAUCGUUUUAAUCGAUGGGGGGACGCAGUAGGAUAGGCGAAGCGUGCGAUUGGAUUGCACGUCUAAGCAGUAAGGCUGAGUAUUAGGCAAAUCCGGUACUCAUUAAGGCUGAGCUGUGAUGGGGAGAAGACAUUGUGUCUUCGAGUCGUUGAUUUCACACUGCCGAGAAAAGCCUCUAGAUAGAAAAUAGGUGCCCGUACCGCAAACCGACACAGGUAGUCAAGAUGAGAAUUCUAAGGUGAGCGAGCGAACUCUCGUUAAGGAACUCGGCAAAAUGACCCCGUAACUUCGGGAGAAGGGGUGCUCUUUAGGGUUAACGCCCAGAAGAGCCGCAGUGAAUAGGCCCAAGCGACUGUUUAUCAAAAACACAGGUCUCUGCUAAACCGUAAGGUGAUGUAUAGGGGCUGACGCCUGCCCGGUGCUGGAAGGUUAAGAGGAGUGGUUAGCUUCUGCGAAGCUACGAAUCGAAGCCCCAGUAAACGGCGGCCGUAACUAUAACGGUCCUAAGGUAGCGAAAUUCCUUGUCGGGUAAGUUCCGACCCGCACGAAAGGCGUAACGAUUUGGGCACUGUCUCAACGAGAGACUCGGUGAAAUCAUAGUACCUGUGAAGAUGCAGGUUACCCGCGACAGGACGGAAAGACCCCGUGGAGCUUUACUGUAGCCUGAUAUUGAAAUUCGGCACAGCUUGUACAGGAUAGGUAGGAGCCUUUGAAACGUGAGCGCUAGCUUACGUGGAGGCGCUGGUGGGAUACUACCCUAGCUGUGUUGGCUUUCUAACUCGCACCACUUAUCGUGGUGGGAGACAGUGUCAGGCGGGCAGUUUGACUGGGGCGGUCGCCUCCUAAAAGGUAACGGAGGCGCUCAAAGGUUCCCUCAGAAUGGUUGGAAAUCAUUCAUAGAGUGUAAAGGCAUAAGGGAGCUUGACUGCGAGACCUACAAGUCGAGCAGGGUCGAAAGACGGACUUAGUGAUCCGGUGGUUCCGCAUGGAAGGGCCAUCGCUCAACGGAUAAAAGCUACCCCGGGGAUAACAGGCUUAUCUCCCCCAAGAGUUCACAUCGACGGGGAGGUUUGGCACCUCGAUGUCGGCUCAUCGCAUCCUGGGGCUGUAGUCGGUCCCAAGGGUUGGGCUGUUCGCCCAUUAAAGCGGUACGCGAGCUGGGUUCAGAACGUCGUGAGACAGUUCGGUCCCUAUCCGUCGUGGGCGUAGGAAAUUUGAGAGGAGCUGUCCUUAGUACGAGAGGACCGGGAUGGACAUACCUCUGGUGUACCAGUUGUCGUGCCAACGGCAUAGCUGGGUAGCUAUGUGUGGACGGGAUAAGUGCUGAAAGCAUCUAAGCAUGAAGCCCCCCUCAAGAUGAGAUUUCCCAACUUCGGUUAUAAGAUCCCUCAAAGAUGAUGAGGUUAAUAGGUUCGAGGUGGAAGCAUGGUGACAUGUGGAGCUGACGAAUACUAAUCGAUCGAAGACUUAAUCAA
Molecule: ribosomal RNA, 2921 nt
Filed under: Staphylococcus aureus
Lineage: Bacteria; Bacillati; Bacillota; Bacilli; Caryophanales; Staphylococcaceae
Description: bacterial LSU rRNA
Rfam family: Bacterial large subunit ribosomal RNA
Source: RNAcentral